AUUGAACGCUGGCGGCAGGCCUAACACAUGCAAGUCGAGCGAGCGGCGGACGGGUGAGUAAUGUAUGGGGACUGCCCGUUAGAGGGGGAUAACUCCUGGAAACGGUAGCUAAUCCCGCAUACUAUCGGAUAACCCAUAUGGGAUUAGCUAGUCGGUGAGGUAAUGGCUCACCUAGGCGACGAUCCCUAGCUGGUCUGAGAGGAUGAUCAGCCACACUGGGACUGAGACACGGCCCAGACUCCUACGGAGGCAGCAGUGGGGAAUAUUGCACAAUGGGCGCAAGCCUGAUGCAGCCAUGCCGCGUGUGUGAAGAAGGCCCUAGGGUUGUAGAGUACUUUCAGUCGGGAAGCGUUACCGACAGAAGAAGCAACGGCUAACUCCGUGCCAGCCGCCGCGGUAAUUC
Molecule: ribosomal RNA, 403 nt
Filed under: uncultured bacterium
Lineage: Bacteria
Description: partial 16S ribosomal RNA
Rfam family: Bacterial small subunit ribosomal RNA
Source: RNAcentral